UAUACACAGGCAAAUUAGCAGCAACACAAUGGCGUACUCGAUUUGGUCGUCUAUCCAAAGUACCAGCUUUGGGUGAAGUGGAUCCAACAGGAUCAUUUUGUGCCUUUCCUGAUAAUUGGUUGAAAAUGAAAGCCGCCGAAAAAGCUGUUAGUCCUUCGAGUGCGGAUUUAUGGAAAAUUUUCUUUGUGAAUGCUGUGCCAUUUGUUGCGUUUGGUUUUCUGGAUAAUUUCACUAUGAUUAUUGCUGUAAGUUGGUCGCAAAAAAUAAAUACAAGUAAAAAA
Molecule: long non-coding RNA, 281 nt
Organism: Musca vetustissima
Lineage: Eukaryota; Metazoa; Arthropoda; Insecta; Diptera; Muscidae
Exons: 3
Source: RefSeq, a predicted model, not a curated record